GUCGCAAGCUUACCCUGUGAAGGUUCCACAGUAAGCAAAAUGGGCACAGCCCAAAACGUCAGGUCGAGGUGUAGCUUACGAGGUGGAAAGAAAUGGGCUACAUUUUCUUAAACAGAAUACUACGGACAACACUAUGAAACUGGUGUUUAAAGGUGGAUUUAGUAGUAAAAAACAAGUAGAGUGUGUUUUUGAACUAGGCUCUGAGACGCGCACACACCGCCCGUCACUCUCCCCAUCACCUAUCUCUCUAAGUAAAUAACCACAGUAAUCUCCCGUCGGGGAGGCAAGUCGUAACAUGG
RNAcentral lists this ribosomal RNA (299 nucleotides) under Megaleporinus muyscorum. Its description in RNAcentral is "partial small subunit ribosomal RNA". It matches the Rfam family "Bacterial small subunit ribosomal RNA", at positions 1051 to 1496 of the family's 1533-position model. The record is from RNAcentral. Lineage: Eukaryota; Metazoa; Chordata; Actinopteri; Characiformes; Anostomidae.